This 292-nucleotide ribosomal RNA is filed under the name uncultured bacterium. RNAcentral describes it as "partial 16S ribosomal RNA". It matches the Rfam family "Bacterial small subunit ribosomal RNA", at positions 505 to 796 of the family's 1533-position model. The record is from RNAcentral.
GUGCCAGCCGCCGCGGUAAUGCGGAGGGGGUUAGCGUUGUUCGGAAUUACUGGGCGUAAAGCGCGCGUAGGCGGAUUGGUAAGUUGGGGGUGAAAUCCCGGGGCUCAACCCCGGAACUGCCUCCAAAACUCCCAGUCUUGAGUUCGAGAGAGGUGAGUGGAAUUCCGAGUGUAGAGGUGAAAUUCGUAGAUAUUCGGAGGAACACCAGUGGCGAGGGCGGCUCACUGGCUCGAUACUGACGCUGAGGUGCGAAAGCGUGGGGAGCAAACAAGGUUAGGAACCCUGGUAGUCC